Molecule: RNA transcript, 1256 nt
Organism: Galeopterus variegatus (Sunda flying lemur)
Lineage: Eukaryota; Metazoa; Chordata; Mammalia; Dermoptera; Cynocephalidae
Gene name: heterogeneous nuclear ribonucleoprotein A1 pseudogene
Exons: 2
Source: RefSeq, a predicted model, not a curated record
AUGGUCACCACACUGCAAGCAGGUGCAGCAGGGGAUCUGAGCACAGCUGUGGCAGUGGUCCUGUGCAUAAUUGGACUGACUGAUGCAGCAGUGUGGGCUAUGUGCAGUGUGGAUCCUGUGUGCAGCUGGUCUGGUUGGCACUGCAGCACCAGUGUAGAUGGCUACCAGCAGCAGCAACAGCUAGAGCCACACUACAGAUGGCAGCAACUUGAGAUCUCAUUGCUUCACUCCUAUGACUCUGUGGAUAAGAUUGUCAUUCAGAAAUACCAUACUGUGAAUGGCCACAACUGUGAAUUAAGGAAAGCCCUGUCAAAGCAAGAAAUGGCUAGUGCUUCAUCCAGCCAAAGAGGUCGAAGUGGUUCUGGAAACUUUGGUGGUGGUCGUAGAGGUGGUUUUGGUGGGAAUGACAACUUCGGUCGUGGAGGAAACUUCAGUGGUCGUGGUGGCUUUGGUGGCAGCCGUGGUGGUGGUGGAUAUGGUGGCAGUGGGGAUGGCUAUAAUGGAUUUGGUAAUGAUGGUGGUUAUGGAGGAGGCGGCCCUGGUUACUCUGGAGGAAGCAGAGGCUAUGGAAGUGGUGGACAGGGUUAUGGAAACCAGGGCAGUGGCUAUGAUGGGAGUGGCAGCUAUGACAGCUAUAACAACAGAGGAGGCGGAGGCAGCUUUGGCGGUGGUAGUGGGAGCAAUUUUGGAGGUGGUGGAAGCUACAAUGAUUUUGGCAGUUACAACAAUCAGUCUUCAAAUUUUGGACCCAUGAAGGGAGGAAAUUUUGGAGGCAGAAGCUCUGGCCCUUAUGGUGGUGGAGGCCAAUACUUUGAUGAAUCACGAAACCAAGGUGGCUGUGGUGGUUCCAGCAGCAGCAGUAGCUAUGGCAGUGGCAGGAGGUUCUAACUAACUUCCAGGAAACAAAGCUUAGCAGGAGAGGAGAGCCAGAGAAGUGACAGGGAAGCUACAGGUUACAACAGAUUUGUGAACUCAGCCAAGCACAGUGGUGGCAGAGCCUAGCUGCUACAAAGAAGACAUGUUUUAGACAAUACUCGGGUGUAUGGGCAAAAAAACUGAGGACUGUAUUUGUGACUAAUUGUAUAACAGGUUAUUUUAGUUUCUGUUCUGUGGAAAGUGUAAAGCAUUCCAACAAAGGUUUUUAAUGUAGACUUUUUUUUUUUUUUUUGCACCCAUGCUGCUGAUUGCUAAAUGUAAUAGUCUGAUCAUGAUGCUGAAUAAAUGUGUCUUUUUUUUAAAAAAAAAAAAAAAAAAAA